This 75-nucleotide transfer RNA is filed under the name Pyrobaculum sp. RNAcentral describes it as "tRNA-Phe". It matches the Rfam family "tRNA". Rfam says of the family: Transfer RNA (tRNA) molecules are approximately 80 nucleotides in length. Their secondary structure includes four short double-helical elements and three loops (D, anti-codon, and T loops). Lineage: Archaea; Thermoproteati; Thermoproteota; Thermoprotei; Thermoproteales; Thermoproteaceae. The record is from RNAcentral.
GCGGCCGUAGCUCAGCGGGAGAGCGCCCGGCUGAAGAACGGGCGGUCCCGGGUUCAAAUCCCGGCGGCCGCACCA